AUGGCUGCCAUGUGGUCUCCAAUCAUCGCUCUCCUCCUGCUCCUGCUCCCACUCGUGCCAUCCUCCUCCUCCGUCAUCACCCUCCCGCUCCAUGGCAACGUCUACCCUGUCGGCCACUACUAUGUAACGAUGAAGAUUGGUAAACAUCCGAAGCCCUACUUCCUGGACAUCGACACCGGCAGCAACCUCACCUGGCUGGAGUGUCACCACCAGCAACUCGGCUGCCAGCACUGCACCCGGCAUCUAAAACACCCACAUUACUCGCCACAACUUAGCAACUUGAAGAUGGAAUGUCAACACAAGUACUGUGAUGCACUACGGAAAGACCUGGCAGGUAAUAACCCUCAAUGCCCACAUCAGAAGCCACAUCAAUGCCACUACCAAAUUCAAUACCUUGAUGGGACGACAGACGGUGUCAUCUCCAUUGACACGAUCUCUCUCAGGGGAAAUGAAAAAUCCAGUUUCAUUGCCUUCGGAUGUGGAUACAACCAGCUACCACAGAAAGAAACAUCGCCCGUAGAUGGCAUCCUUGGUCUUGGGAUGGGAACGGUAGGUUUUGUCCCACAACUCAUGCUGAACAAGAUGAUCACCAAGAACAUCAUUGGGCAUUGCCUUGGCAAGGAUGGAGGGGGCUACCUCUCCUUUGGGGAGCAGUUUGACCUGGAACGCAUAACCUGGGCACCCAUGAGAAAAUACGAGUAA
This 702-nucleotide ribosomal RNA is filed under the name Triticum aestivum (bread wheat). RNAcentral's name for it is "partial small subunit ribosomal RNA". The record is from RNAcentral. Lineage: Eukaryota; Viridiplantae; Streptophyta; Magnoliopsida; Poales; Poaceae.